UGCUUAGAUAUCUGCCGAUAGGUGGGGACAACAGUUGGAACGACUGCUAAUACCGCAUAAUGUCUACGGACCAAAGUGGGGGACCUUCGGGCCUCACGCCUAUUGAUGAGUCUAAGUGGGAUUAGCUAGUUGGUGGGGUAAUGGCUCACCAAGGGCGACGAUCCCUAGCUGGUCUGAGAGGAUGAUCAGCCACACUGGAACUGAGACACGGUCCAGACUCCUACGGGAGGCAGCAGUGGGGAAUAUUGCGCAAUGGGCGAAAGCCUGACGCAGCGACGCCGCGUGAGGGAUGACGGCCUU
Molecule: ribosomal RNA, 300 nt
Filed under: uncultured Pseudoalteromonas sp.
Lineage: Bacteria; Pseudomonadati; Pseudomonadota; Gammaproteobacteria; Alteromonadales; Pseudoalteromonadaceae
Description: bacterial SSU rRNA
Rfam family: Bacterial small subunit ribosomal RNA
Source: RNAcentral